UACGGAGGGAGCUAGCGUUGUUCGGAAUUACUGGGCGUAAAGCGCACGUAGGCAGCUUUCUAAGUCAGGGGUGAAAUCCUGGAGCUCAACUCCAGAACUGCCUUUGAUACUGGAGAGCUUGAGUCCGGAAGAGGUGAGUGGAACUCCGAGUGUAGAGGUGAAAUUCGUAGAUAUUCGGAAGAACACCAGUGGCGAAGGCGGCUCACUGGUCCGGUACUGACGCUGAGGUGCGAAAGCGUGGGGAGCAAACAGG
RNAcentral lists this ribosomal RNA (253 nucleotides) under uncultured bacterium. RNAcentral describes it as "partial 16S ribosomal RNA". It matches the Rfam family "Bacterial small subunit ribosomal RNA", at positions 524 to 776 of the family's 1533-position model. The record is from RNAcentral.